RNAcentral lists this ribosomal RNA (253 nucleotides) under uncultured bacterium. RNAcentral describes it as "partial 16S ribosomal RNA". It matches the Rfam family "Bacterial small subunit ribosomal RNA", at positions 524 to 776 of the family's 1533-position model. The record is from RNAcentral.
UACGUAGGGUGCAAGCGUUAAUCGGAAUUACUGGGCGUAAAGCGUGCGCAGGCGGUUCUAUAAGACAGAUGUGAAAUCCCCGGGCUUAACCUGGGAACUGCAUUGGUGACUGCAUUGCUGGAGUAUGGCAGAGGGGGGUGGAAUUCCACGUGUAGCAGUGAAAUGCGUAGAGAUGUGGAGGAACACCGAUGGCGAAGGCAGCCCCCUGGGCCAAUACUGACGCUCAUGCACGAAAGCGUGGGGAGCAAACAGG